CUAAGAACAAGGCAGUUAACACACUGUUCCCCUAAGAACAAGGCAGUUAACACACUGUUCCCCUAAGAACAAGGCAGUUAACACACUGUUCCCCUGAACAAGGCAGUUAACCCACUGUUCCCCUGAACAAGGCAGUUAACACACUGUUCCCCUGAACAAGGCAGUUAACCCACUGUUCCCCUGAACAAGGCAGUUAACCCACUGUUCCCCUGAACAAGGCAGUUAACACACUGUUCCUAGACCUUCAUUGAAAAUUAGAAUUUGUUCUCAACUGACUUGCCUAGUUAAAUAAAGGUUAAAUUAUAAAAAUGGUGAAAUAAAUAUCAGAAUUGGGCUGCCUCAAACACGCACACUCACUCUGCCCAGAGUUUGUGAAAAUGUAAUUUUCUUUAUGUUACUAAAUACAUUUUACCAGGGCAAAUGGGAGUAUUCAUGAUCUGUACCAUUGUGGGGUAUUUCUCCAACAUUAGGUCAUCUGAUGACCUAUAAUACAUCUGACAAACACCAAGCUCUGUUGAUGUCCUGACCUCUGGUAAUAAACACCAAGCUCUGUUGAUGUCCUGACCUCUGGUAAUAAACACCAAGCUCUGUUGAUGUCUUGACCUCUGGUAAUAAACACCAAGCUCUGUUGAUGUCUUGACCUCUGGUAAUAAACACCAAGCUCUGUUGAUGUCCUGACCUCUGGUAAUAAACACCAAGCUCUGUUGAUGUCUUGACCUCUGGUAAUAAACACCAAGCUCUGUUGAUGUCCUGUCUUCAUGCUCCACCAACCAAGCCUUGUCUUCAUGCUCCACCAACCAGGCCCUGUCCCUAUGCUGCACUAACCAGGCCUUGUCUUCAUGCUCCACCAACCAGGCCUUGUCUUCAUGCUCCACCAACCAGGCCUUGUCUUCA
Oncorhynchus tshawytscha (Chinook salmon) is the source of this 894-nucleotide long non-coding RNA. The record is from Ensembl. NCBI's taxonomy places the organism in Eukaryota, Metazoa, Chordata, Actinopteri, Salmoniformes, Salmonidae.